CACAUUCACCGCUACCUGAUGCG
RNAcentral lists this ribosomal RNA (23 nucleotides) under Rotylenchus vitis. RNAcentral describes it as "partial 18S ribosomal RNA". The record is from RNAcentral. Lineage: Eukaryota; Metazoa; Nematoda; Chromadorea; Rhabditida; Hoplolaimidae.